AGAAAAGCAAAAACAGACUGCGCCGCCCGGGAAUCGAACCCGGGUCGCAAGAAUGGGAAUCUUGCAUGAUACCACUACACCAGCGGCGCUCUUGAGUGUCUGGGCCGUCCACAGGAUAUACGAACUGUGACGUACACUGACCAAUGCAACAGCAUUGCGCAUGCGUCUUUUCUUUUGUGCUCCAGUUCUUGGUUGACAAGAGUUUGCAAGACAGGAUAGCGCACUGGAUCCCGAAGUGUUGUUGGCGGCCCUUGAAAAGGAGGAAAGCUACUCCUCUGUGUCCAGAUCCCCAUGUCUUUCUCUGAAAAGGGCAUAGUCGGGAUAGAGGAUCCAUCCAGUUCCAUCUCACUAUGGCUCUAGCUGAGAUCUUCCAUAACCCUCAGACAUCAGCUUUCACAACUGGUACCCCACCAAGGCUCCGUCCUCAGGCAGCAGUGAGUGGUCUAGUGCAUCUAGAAAGACUUGACUGGGGAACCUGCAAAACCCAGCUCAGUAUGGCUGUCAUUCCAGGGGUACCUGCAAAAACCAGCAUGAGGCCCCAGUGUCCUAUCCUGCCUCCCUACCAUGUGCUGUGUAAUCCGGAGCCAACCGCUGGGAGAGAGGAGGCUUGGGGAAGGAGGUCAGCUUUCCUGAGCUGUCUGUCACCUACACUUCAGGAGGUGAGAGAGUCCUGCUCUUACACGCUCCAUAAGUGACCUCAAUAAAAUCACUGAUUCACCAACUAGAUUUGGCUGGAAUUCUUUCUUUGGUCUGUGGUUGGUGUCCUAUCUCAGCUGAGCAGACAUUUUGCAUGCCUCCCUAGUACAUGUCACACACUCAACUGAGUCUUCACAGAGCUAGAGAAGGGGAGGAGGCCUUUUGUUCUC
This is a non-coding RNA of Peromyscus maniculatus bairdii (prairie deer mouse), 866 nucleotides long. The record is from RefSeq and is a predicted model, not a curated record. NCBI's taxonomy places the organism in Eukaryota, Metazoa, Chordata, Mammalia, Rodentia, Cricetidae.